Molecule: ribosomal RNA, 583 nt
Filed under: Staphylococcus aureus
Lineage: Bacteria; Bacillati; Bacillota; Bacilli; Caryophanales; Staphylococcaceae
Description: partial 23S ribosomal RNA
Rfam family: Bacterial large subunit ribosomal RNA
Source: RNAcentral
UUAAGGCUGAGCUGUGAUGGGGAGAAGACAUUGUGUCUUCGAGUCGUUGAUUUCACACUGCCGAGAAAAGCCUCUAGAUAGAAAAUAGGUGCCCGUACCGCAAACCGACACAGGUAGUCAAGAUGAGAAUUCUAAGGUGAGCGAGCGAACUCUCGUUAAGGAACUCGGCAAAAUGACCCCGUAACUUCGGGAGAAGGGGUGCUCUUUAGGGUUAACGCCCAGAAGAGCCGCAGUGAAUAGGCCCAAGCGACUGUUUAUCAAAAACACAGGUCUCUGCUAAACCGUAAGGUGAUGUAUAGGGGCUGACGCCUGCCCGGUGCUGGAAGGUUAAGAGGAGUGGUUAGCUUCUGCGAAGCUACGAAUCGAAGCCCCAGUAAACGGCGGCCGUAACUAUAACGGUCCUAAGGUAGCGAAAUUCCUUGUCGGGUAAGUUCCGACCCGCACGAAAGGCGUAACGAUUUGGGCACUGUCUCAACGAGAGACUCGGUGAAAUCAUAGUACCUGUGAAGAUGCAGGUUACCCGCGACAGGACGGAAAGACCCCGUGGAGCUUUACUGUAGCCUGAUAUUGAAAUUCGGCACAG